UACAGAGGUCCCAAGCGUUGUUCGGAUUCACUGGGCGUAAAGGGCGUGUAGGCGGUCAGGUAAGUGAAAUGUGAAAUGCCUCGGCUCACCCGAGGACCGGCAUCUCAUACUGCCUGACUUGAGUACGGGAGAGGAUGUGGGAAUUCCUGGUGUAGCGGUGAAAUGCGUAGAUAUCAGGAGGAACACCGGUGGCGAAGGCGCACAUCUGGCCCGAUACUGACGCUGAGGCGCGAAAGCUAGGGGAGCAAACGGG
RNAcentral lists this ribosomal RNA (253 nucleotides) under uncultured bacterium. Its description in RNAcentral is "partial 16S ribosomal RNA". It matches the Rfam family "Bacterial small subunit ribosomal RNA", at positions 524 to 776 of the family's 1533-position model. The record is from RNAcentral.